This 484-nucleotide ribosomal RNA is filed under the name uncultured Cytophaga sp. Its description in RNAcentral is "bacterial SSU rRNA". It matches the Rfam family "Bacterial small subunit ribosomal RNA", at positions 337 to 916 of the family's 1533-position model. The record is from RNAcentral. Lineage: Bacteria; Pseudomonadati; Bacteroidota; Cytophagia; Cytophagales; Cytophagaceae.
UCCUACGGGAGGCAGCAGUAGGGAAUAUUGGACAAUGGGUGCGAGCCUGAUCCAGCCAUGCCGCGUGCAGGAAGACGGCCUUCUGGGUUGUAAACUGCUUUUGCCAGGGGAUAAAAAAUUGAAGGUACCUGGUGAAUAAGCCACGGCUAACUACGUGCCAGCAGCCGCGGUAAUACGUAGGUGGCAAGCGUUGUCCGGAUUUAUUGGGUUUAAAGGGUGCGUAGGCGGCAGCUUAACUGUCGAACUUGAGUACAGACGAGGUAGGCGGAAUUGACGGUGUAGCGGUGAAAUGCUUAGAUAUCGUCAAGAACACCGAUAGCGAAGGCAGCUUACUAGACUGUAACUGACACUGAAUCAAACAGGAUUAGAUACCCUGGUAGUCCACACUGUAAACGAUGAUUACUCGAUGUUGGCGAUACACAGCCAGCGUCUUAGCGAAAGCGAUAAGUAAUCCACCUGGGGUGAAACUCAAAGGAAUUGACGG